Long non-coding RNA from Vitis vinifera (wine grape), 1163 nucleotides. RefSeq lists it as uncharacterized. The transcript has 3 exons. The record is from RefSeq and is a predicted model, not a curated record. Lineage: Eukaryota; Viridiplantae; Streptophyta; Magnoliopsida; Vitales; Vitaceae.
UCUCUCUCAUGCCAACCCAUUUUCUCUUCUUCUCCAAAACCCACGGCCAUAAAACCCACAAAACCUACCCACAGCCCCCAUUGCUUGGAGGAAGCUAUUGCCGGAAAAAGCUUAUGGAAGUCAUGCCGAAGAAGCCCCAUGGAAGCUAUGGUCAGUAAAGCCAAAGCCACCUCCAAGAAACUCCCGUGAAAAUCAUCUCUCUAGGUUUUGGAUAUCUCAGACAAAAACAAGGCAAAUAGGGCAAAGCAAGUGAUAAAGCAUACAUCGGGAUAAAAAAUUUAUGCUCAAAUUUGAUAUGAACAGGUUGAAAAUUUAUUAUUAAUAUGAUUUGUUUGUACAUAAAUAAUUCAUCAUAAAUAACUCUAUUGUUUUACUUGUAAGAAUAAGCACAAAAGAAGGAGGAUCAAAGUGAGCCCAAUAGAAUUGAGAUGUUUGCCUUGACACACACAAGAAAAGAUGGGACGCUUGUUGAUGAUCAUUCUAAGGAGAUUAUGGAUCAAUUUCAGCAAUUACUAUCCCAACCUAAGGGGACAUCUUCUUCUACUUCUGCAUCAUCUAGAGCAUCUACAUCUGUAGCAUUUACAUAUGUAGAUGAGAUAUAUACUUAAGUCAUGGGUCCAGAGAGGCAUGGUCGUGUUCGAGGGUAUGGAUUUGGUCCUACUCCUACCUCAAUCUUUGGUUCUACUAGUAGAAGGCGAUUAGGAGUUAUUCUUUCAACACAAAUUGAAAACGCCCAAGAGAUGCUAAUAGCUGCAGAACAAAAGUUUACAACUGCAACUGAAGAACUCUCAAAUAUGAAAGAGGAACUCUCACAUGUGAAAGAAACAUUUGAAGAAAGGUUGAUAGAAGUUCAAAGGAAGACACGAGAAGAAGUGAAAGAAGAGUUUGAAGAAAAAAUGAUGGAAAUGCAAAGAAAAAUGCAAGCACAAAUUCAAGAACAAAUGAUGCAACAAUUUUAGCAAAAGCAGUAGAAAUUUGAAGAUUUUGCUACAUCUUUAUAUGAUAAAUUCUCUUAACUUUUUUGAAAAUUAUGCUACUUAUUUAUAUGAUAGAUUCUCCUAACUUUUUUUUGCUUUCUAUGACUAUUAUGUAAUGUUUGGUUGAUUUGUUAUAUUAUGUUAGAAUGUGAAACUAAAUUUGAAUCUCUUUGUUAUUUGUUUGUU